GCCUGGGUGGCUCAGUCGGUUAAGCGUCCGACUUCAGCUCAGGUCACGAUCUCGCGGUCCGUGGGUUCGAGCCCCACGUCGGGCU
Non-coding RNA from Felis catus (domestic cat), 85 nucleotides. NCBI's taxonomy places the organism in Eukaryota, Metazoa, Chordata, Mammalia, Carnivora, Felidae. The record is from Rfam.